Otolemur garnettii (small-eared galago) is the source of this 284-nucleotide long non-coding RNA. RefSeq lists it as uncharacterized. The record is from RefSeq and is a predicted model, not a curated record. The transcript has 2 exons. Lineage: Eukaryota; Metazoa; Chordata; Mammalia; Primates; Galagidae.
GCAGAGUCCACUGUGGAUGAACCGCGAGCACAUUAGGCCAGCAGAAGAAGCCAGCACAAAAGGCCACACGUGUGACUGCCUGACACGCGCAGAAGAGGGAAAUCCACAGAGACAGAAGAUGUAAUGGCUGAAGCUCCAGCAGUUUCAACUGACAGUGCGGCUAGAGGCCAACACAGACAGAGCCUGGUCGCAGAUGACCAUGGAACCACCAUCUAGUCCUGGACUUCCUAUUUGCUGAACUAUUUUUCAUGAACAAGAAACAAAAUUAGAUAUGGUUCAAACCA